UACGUAUGGUGCAAGCGUUAUCCGGAUUUACUGGGUGUAAAGGGAGCGCAGGCGGCACGGCAAGCCUGAUGUGAAAGCCCGCGGCCCAACCGCGGGACUGCAUUGGGAACUACCGGUCUGGAGUGCCGGAGAGGUAGGCGGAAUUCCUAGUGUAGCGGUGAAAUGCGUAGAUAUUAGGAGGAACACCAGUGGCGGAGGCGGCCUAGUGGACGGUGACUGACGCUGAGGCUCGAAAGCGUGGGGAGCAAACAGG
This 253-nucleotide ribosomal RNA is filed under the name uncultured bacterium. RNAcentral describes it as "partial 16S ribosomal RNA". It matches the Rfam family "Bacterial small subunit ribosomal RNA", at positions 524 to 776 of the family's 1533-position model. The record is from RNAcentral.